AUGCAGGCAGAAUUUGCAGCGAAACUGGAACAAGCUAAAGCUUUACAAGAAAUUCACAAUCAAGAAGCUAAGCUUGAUAAGAUGGAGCAUGACUGGAAGCUUUGUGAAUCGAGAAUGUUAGCGGAGAUAAAGCAGAAGGAGGCUGAAAUGCAGUUAAGGCUAGUUGAGGAAAAGAAACGGCUACAACAGCUACAAGUUGACAAAGAAGUUAAAGUAGCAGCAGCUCGUGUCAAAGUGUAUAACGAUUUGGAAUGCAACCUUCAUCGCUGUGAAGAUGACGAAGGCCCUAGCAUUCAAACUGGCUGCCAAAGGACAGAGCUUACAUCUCAACUGAACCCGGAAGCACAGUCGUUCCUACCUCAGCAAGCAUCAUGUGAAGGAUAUGGAGUUACAUCACCUCAGGAAACUGCAAAUCUAGCUCAAGCAAUAGCAAACUCACUAAGCACACAUCGGCUGCCUGUUCCAGAACCCACUGUCUUUGUUGGUGACCCUUUAAAAUUAAUAGAUUGGAAGAUGUCAUUCAUGGCCCUCAUUGAUCGAAAACCUCUUCCUUCUGGUGAAAAAAUUUUCUAUCUGAAGAAUUACCUUGCUGGGGAAGCUCGCAAAGCGGUAGAGGGAUAUUUCUACAGAAAUUCUGAGGAUGCGUAUCAAGGUGCCUGGAAAGUGUUACAGGAAAGGUACGGGAACUCGUUCGUCAUCCAAAGAGCGUUUCGAGACAAGCUGAUGAGAUGGCCCAAAAUUGGAGCAAAUGACCCACUGGCAUUACGAGACUUCACAGAUUUCCUACAAGGUUGUGUCGAGGCAAUUCCUCACGUAAAAGGAUUAGCCAUCCUAAAUGAUUCUGAAGAAAACCACAAGCUGUUAAAGAAACUCCCCGAAUGGAUUGUGAGAAAGUGGAACGGAAUCGUGGUGGAAGAGCUAGACACAUCAGGUGACUAUCCAAGUUUCAAAUGCUUCACAGAAUUUCGGCAAAAGGAAGCAAAAAUAGCUUGUAACCCUAUAACCUCUGCACUAUUUGUGAAUCAAAAGAACACAGAUGAAAGGUUCCCCAAGCGUGCUAAGGCUCUCAGUACAAAGGUUCAGGUGAAGGACUUGAGCUCAAAAAGACCAGAGACGUACAGAUCUAAGCCAAAGACAUCGUGCCUUUUCUGCAAAGAUGAAAAACAUCACAUUGCUCAAUGCUCUACAUUUGCUGGAAAGACUAUUGAAGAAAAGAAAGCCUUCAUUCACGAAACCCACCUCUGUUUCGGAUGUCUCAGAAAGGGACACAUGAGUAAAGACUGUAGAAGAAGACAUACAUGUGGUACGUGUGGUCGAAGUCAUCCUACCUGCUUACAUGAAGAAAGGGAUAAAGCUCCUUCAAAGGACCCUAAAGGAGCAUCUACGAAUGUUCAAGCAAGUGAGGAAGUUCAUAAAGUCAUGACCCAUGCACUCACUCAAUGUUCUCCUGCUACUUCCAGCAUUGUGCCAGUUUUCAUCUCUACAGUGGACGAACCCCAAAGAGAAGUACUAACUUAUGCUCUACUUGACACCCAGAGCGACUCAAGUUUCAUCUUGGAAGAUCUUCUUGAAAGUUUGAAUGUUGUCUCACAACCUGUGCAAUUGAGGCUCAACACCAUGACAGCUGCUGACACGAUCACUGCCAGUAAGAGAGUCUGUGGACUUAAAGUAAGAGGACUACAAUCUGCAAGUUCUAUUCCACUACAGCAAGCAUACACAAGAGACUUCAUUCCAGUAGACAAGUCGUAUAUUCCCACCAAGCACACAGCGCUUCAGUGGAGUCAACUCAGACACUUAGCAAGUCAGCUGUCACCACUUUUGAACUGUGAAGUCGGACUUUUAAUUGGAUUUGACUGCCCAUCUGCUCUAGCUCCCUUGGAAGCAAUUAUAGGUGGUGAAAAUGAGCCUUUCGCGCAAAGAACUGUGCUUGGGUGGAGUAUUAUAGGCCUGUCUAAUCCACACCUUGACCGACAAGGAAAUCAGAGUUUUGUCCACCGUGUUGCAGUAAAGGAAAUACCUGUCCCAUCGGCCAAUGAUAUCCUGAAAAUUCUUGAGUCAGAUUUCAAUGAAAAAGCUUAUGAGGAUAAAUGUGUGUCACAAGAGGAUGUUCGUUUCAUACAGCACCUCAGUGCCAAUAUUCAUCAGAAGGAUAAUGGACAUUACGAGCUUCCUCUCCCAUUUAAGUGCAGCAGCCGACCCUCACUACCCAACAACAAAGGGCUAGCAACUGCUCGACUACAACACCUAAAGAAACGGCUCAAGUCCAAUAAACAGUAUUAUGAUCACUACAAGGCUUUCAUGGAAGAAAUGAUUAUCAAAGGUGAUGCAGAACAAGCUCCAGCUAUACUAAGUGGAGAGACAGUGUGGUACAUCCCACACCAUGGGGUGUACCACCCUCAGAAACCAAACAAGCUGAGGGUGGUAUUCGAUCGUUCAGCAAAGUUUCGUGGUAUAUCAUUAAAUGACACACUUCUGACUGGGCCUGAUCUAACCAAUUCCUUGGUGGGAGUGCUGUGCCGUUUCAGAAAGGAGCCAGUUGCAGUUACCUGUGACAUAGAGAAGAUGUUUCACCAGUUUCUCGUCCCACCUGAUGAACGCAAUUACCUGAGAUUCUUAUGGUGGGAGGGUAGAGACUUGGAGAAAGAGCCUCAAGAAUAUCGCAUGGCAGUCCACCUCUUUGGUGCCACGUCUUCACCUGGGUGUGCUAAUUUCGGCCUAAAGUACCUGGCACAGCAGCACAAGGUUAACUAUCCUUCAGCCUCAGCAUUCAUUGAGAAGAACUUUUAUGUGGACGAUGGGUUAACCAGUGUUCCCUCAACCAGUGAAGCCAAAGAACUAAUAAUGCAAGCUCAAAGAGUGUGUAAACAUGGAGGUUUACGGCUUCACAAAUUUAAAUUUUAUUUAAUUUAA
RNAcentral lists this long non-coding RNA (2910 nucleotides) under Carassius auratus (goldfish). Its description in RNAcentral is "lncRNA (ENSCARG00000030524.1)". Lineage: Eukaryota; Metazoa; Chordata; Actinopteri; Cypriniformes; Cyprinidae. The record is from RNAcentral.